GAUGAACGCUAGCGGCAGGCCUAACACAUGCAAGUCGAGGGGCAGCACGUCUUCGGAUGGUGGCGACCGGCGCACGGGUGCGUAACGCGUAUGCAACCUACCUUACACUGGGGUAUAGCCCGGAGAAAUUCGGGAUUAAUCCCCCAUGGUACUUUUGAAUGGCAUCAUUUGGAAGUUAAAGUAUUACGGUGUAAGAUGGGCAUGCGUCCUAUUAGCUAGAUGGUAAGGUAACGGCUUACCAUGGCUACGAUAGGUAGGGGGCCUGAGAGGGUGGUCCCCCACACUGGUACUGAGACACGGACCAGACUCCUACGGGAGGCAGCAGUGAGGAAUAUUGGUCAAUGGGCNCAAGCCUGAACCAGCCAUGCCGCGUGCAGGAAGAAUGCCCUAUGGGUUGUAAACUGCUUUUAUUGGGAAUAAACCUUUCUACGUGUAGGAAGCUGAA
RNAcentral lists this ribosomal RNA (445 nucleotides) under uncultured bacterium. Its description in RNAcentral is "bacterial SSU rRNA". It matches the Rfam family "Bacterial small subunit ribosomal RNA", at positions 28 to 473 of the family's 1533-position model. The record is from RNAcentral.